This 407-nucleotide ribosomal RNA is filed under the name uncultured prokaryote. Its description in RNAcentral is "bacterial SSU rRNA". It matches the Rfam family "Bacterial small subunit ribosomal RNA", at positions 355 to 776 of the family's 1533-position model. RNAcentral also lists the same sequence under 1 other name. The record is from RNAcentral.
UGGGGAAUAUUGCGCAAUGGGGGAAACCCUGACGCAGCAAUACCGCGUGAAUGAUGAAGGCUUUCGAGUCGUAAAGUUCUGUUAUUGGGGAAGAAAAAAAUGACGGUACCCAAUGAGGAAGUCCCGGCUAAUUACGUGCCAGCAGCCGCGGUAAUACGUAAGGGACAAGCGUUGUCCGGAAUAACUGGGCGUAAAGCGCUCGUAGGCGGUUUUAUAAGUUCGAUGUGAAAGGUACCGGCUCAACUGGUAAAGUGCAUUGAAAACUGUAGAACUUGAGUAUUGGAGAGGCAAGUGGAAUUCCUAGUGUAGCGGUGAAAUGCGUAGAUAUUAGGAGGAACACCGGUGGCGAAGGCGGCUUGCUGGACAAAUACUGACGCUGAGGAGCGAAAGCGUGGGGAGCAAACAGG